UACGUAGGUGGCAAGCGUUGUCCGGAUUUAUUGGGUUUAAAGGGUGCGUAGGCGGUUCUGUAAGUCAGUGGUGAAAUACUCUAGCUUAACUAGAGGGGUGCCAAUGAUACUGCAGAACUUGAGUACAGAUGAGGUAGGCGGAAUUGACGGUGUAGCGGUGAAAUGCAUAGAUAUCGUUAAGAACACCGAUAGCGAAGGCAGCUUACUGGGCUGUAACUGACGCUGAUGCACGAAAGUGUGGGGAUCAAACAGG
Molecule: ribosomal RNA, 253 nt
Filed under: uncultured prokaryote
Description: partial 16S ribosomal RNA
Rfam family: Bacterial small subunit ribosomal RNA
Source: RNAcentral